RNAcentral lists this long non-coding RNA (521 nucleotides) under Capra hircus (goat). RNAcentral describes it as "lncRNA (ENSCHIG00000001189.1)". The record is from RNAcentral. Lineage: Eukaryota; Metazoa; Chordata; Mammalia; Artiodactyla; Bovidae.
GUUGAUUUUUCUCUCUCCGCCAGAGACAGACUCACCGCUUCGCUCCCCACCCACCUCGACAGUCGGCACGGGGCAUCCGGCCAGGCUCUCCCAGGCGAGAAGAUUGUGGAAGUCUCAUUCUCCAGGCAGAGCAACCAGCCCUCUGGAGGGUGUUCAGGGAAUGGCUUUGCAAGGGGACAGCCCCUAGAGGGAUGUGGUGAGCUCAGGCUGGGUGUGCGCUGGCCGAUGAUACAUCCAAGGAGCCUGCAUCUGAAGCUAAGUGGUGGCAGGGGGGUAGCAAAGCUUAGGAGUCACCCAACCCUGGGCUGGCCUCCAGCAGAUGAGCCAGGGUGCAGAUUCUGGCUCUGAGGGUGGGGGUGCGUUAUUCCCAGAGAUAUAGGGAGGAGAGGCAGGGAGUUUCAGCAUGUUUCCAGACCAAGGAGAUGCUGCAGAGACCCAGAGGAGGAAAGGAGAUGACAGAAGAAGGACAAAUGGGCAGUGGGGUUGCCAGUCUCCAGAGUGGGAGGAAAUUGAAGUCUGAG